This 223-nucleotide unclassified non-coding RNA is filed under the name Hevea brasiliensis (rubber tree). Lineage: Eukaryota; Viridiplantae; Streptophyta; Magnoliopsida; Malpighiales; Euphorbiaceae. The record is from RNAcentral.
AAACUUUCAAGAAUUUGAUUUUUAAAAAGAAAAAAUAAAUAAACCACUUUUACAUGUUCAAAUCCUUAUGUAUGUGGUAUUAAUUGAAGCUCAUUUACUUGAGGUUUCAAAUUCUCCAUCCACACGCUAUAUACACGAUGCAACAAUGUUAUGUAAUAAUCCAAUGCAGACAGGAUGGCUAUUUCCACCAAGGCAGACUCAUCUCAACUCAACUCAACUCAAU